RNAcentral lists this ribosomal RNA (714 nucleotides) under Bacillus sp. P149-4. RNAcentral describes it as "bacterial SSU rRNA". It matches the Rfam family "Bacterial small subunit ribosomal RNA", at positions 632 to 1346 of the family's 1533-position model. The record is from RNAcentral. Lineage: Bacteria; Bacillati; Bacillota; Bacilli; Caryophanales; Bacillaceae.
ACUGGGGAACUUGAGUGCAGAAGAGGAGAGUGGAAUUCCACGUGUAGCGGUGAAAUGCUAAGAGAUGUGGAGGAACACCAGUGGCGAAGGCGACUCUCUGGUCUGUAACUGACGCUGAGGAGCGAAAGCGUGGGGAGCGAACAGGAUUAGAUACCCUGGUAGUCCACGCCGUAAACGAUGAGUGCUAAGUGUUAGGGGGUUUCCGCCCCUUAGUGCUGCAGCUAACGCAUUAAGCACUCCGCCUGGGGAGUACGGUCGCAAGACUGAAACUCAAAGGAAUUGACGGGGGCCCGCACAAGCGGUGGAGCAUGUGGUUUAAUUCGAAGCAACGCGAAGAACCUUACCAGGUCUUGACAUCCUCUGACAAUCCUAGAGAUAGGACGUCCCCUUCGGGGGCAGAGUGACAGGUGGUGCAUGGUUGUCGUCAGCUCGUGUCGUGAGAUGUUGGGUUAAGUCCCGCAACGAGCGCAACCCUUGAUCUUAGUUGCCAGCAUUCAGUUGGGCACUCUAAGGUGACUGCCGGUGACAAACCGGAGGAAGGUGGGGAUGACGUCAAAUCAUCAUGCCCCUUAUGACCUGGGCUACACACGUGCUACAAUGGACAGAACAAAGGGCAGCGAAACCGCGAGGUUAAGCCAAUCCCACAAAUCUGUUCUCAGUUCGGAUCGCAGUCUGCAACUCGACUGCGUGAAGCUGGAAUCGCUAGUAAUCGCG